GACGAACGCUGGCGGCGUGCUUAACACAUGCAAGUCGAACGGAAAGGCCCUGCUUUUGUGGGGUGCUCGAGUGGCGAACGGGUGAGUAACACGUGAGUAACCUGCCCUUGACUUUGGGAUAACUUCAGGAAACUGGGGCUAAUACCGGAUAGGAGCUCCUGCUGCAUGGUGGGGGUUGGAAAGUUUCGGCGGUUGGGGAUGGACUCGCGGCUUAUCAGCUUGUUGGUGGGGUAGUGGCUUACCAAGGCUUUGACGGGUAGCCGGCCUGAGCGGGUGACCGGCCACAUUGGGACUGAGAUACGGCCCAGACUCCUACGGGAGGCAGCAGUGGGGAAUAUUGCACAAGGGGCGGAAGAACGAUGCAGCAACGCCGCGUGCGGGAUGACGGCCUUCGGGUUGUAAACCGCUUUCGCCUGUGACGAAGCGUGAGUGACGGUAAUGGGUAAAGAAGCACCGGCUAACUACGUG
Molecule: ribosomal RNA, 468 nt
Filed under: uncultured bacterium
Lineage: Bacteria
Description: partial 16S ribosomal RNA
Rfam family: Bacterial small subunit ribosomal RNA
Source: RNAcentral